CUCGCAAGAGUGAACUAGCUAACUGAAAUCAAUCUUUUUUAAGUUUUAUUUCUAUAAAGUUACAAGGAUUAGUUUACUAGUUUAAGUCAUUUAAUAUAAAUAAACAAAAUAAAAUAAAAAAGUAAGAUAAGGUAAAGGAUAAUUAUGAUAUUACUUUACUAUAGUGUUGUCAAAAAUUGGUGCCAGAAGACUCGGUAAGACCAAAAACGCAAACGUUAGUCAUCUUUAUCAGGCGUAAAGGGUUAGUAGGCGGCCUUAAUUACCAGUCAAAGUAGAUGAAUAAUCUACUAACAAUUAAUACAAUAGGACGUUAAGUUCAUUGUAAGACAGGCUUAACUUAAGUGCUAGAGUCGAAUAGAGGUUAGAUUAAAUAAUACUUAAACAAGGGGUCAUAUCCUGAAAGAUUAAGUAGAAUACUAAGAGCGAAGGCUUUUUUUCCACUACCGAACAAAUAUACUGACGCUGAGAAACUAAGGGGAGGAUAGGAAAAAGGAUUAGAUACCCAAUUACCCCUCUCUGUCAACGAUGAAUGGUAAUUUCUAGUGAUUUGUAAGAUCUAUUACUAUAAUAGAAAUAUAAUUACAAUACUUAUUAGUUUUAAUGUUAACACGUUAACCAUUCCGCCUUGUGAGUACGAUUGCAAAAUUGAAAACAAAAAAAUUAGUCGGUUUCGGAGCGAACGAAUGAAGCAU
RNAcentral lists this ribosomal RNA (692 nucleotides) under Entomocorticium sp. B. Its description in RNAcentral is "partial small subunit ribosomal RNA". It matches the Rfam family "Bacterial small subunit ribosomal RNA", at positions 374 to 940 of the family's 1533-position model. The record is from RNAcentral. Lineage: Eukaryota; Fungi; Basidiomycota; Agaricomycetes; Russulales; Peniophoraceae.